Molecule: ribosomal RNA, 490 nt
Filed under: uncultured bacterium
Lineage: Bacteria
Description: partial 16S ribosomal RNA
Rfam family: Bacterial small subunit ribosomal RNA
Source: RNAcentral
AUUGGACGCUGGCGGCAGGCCUAACACAUGCAAGUCGAACGGUAACAGGAAGCAGCUUGCUGCUUUGCUGACGAGUGGCGGACGGGUGAGUAAUGUCUGGGAAACUGCCUGAUGGAGGGGGAUAACUACUGGAAACGGUAGCUAAUACCGCAUAACGUCGCAAGACCAAAGAGGGGGACCUUCGGGCCUCUUGCCAUCGGAUGUGCCCAGAUGGGAUUAGCUAGUAGGUGGGGUAACGGCUCACCUAGGCGACGAUCCCUAGCUGGUCUGAGAGGAUGACCAGCCACACUGGAACUGAGACACGGUCCAGACUCCUACGGGAGGCAGCAGUGGGGAAUAUUGCACAAUGGGCGCAAGCCUGAUGCAGCCAUGCCGCGUGUAUGAAGAAGGCCUUCGGGUUGUAAAGUACUUUCAGCGGGGAGGAAGGGAGUAAAGUUAAUACCUUUGCUCAUUGACGUUACCCGCAGAAGAAGCACCGGCUAACUCCGUG